RNAcentral lists this ribosomal RNA (869 nucleotides) under uncultured archaeon. Its description in RNAcentral is "bacterial SSU rRNA". It matches the Rfam family "Archaeal small subunit ribosomal RNA", at positions 82 to 953 of the family's 1478-position model. The record is from RNAcentral.
CAUACGGCUCAGUAACACGUAGUCAAUCUGCCCUAUGGACGUGGAUAACCUCGGGAAACUGAGAAUAAUCCGCGGUAGAUCAUAAUGCCUGGAACGGUUUAUGGUCCAAAUGAUUCGUCGCCAUAGGAUGGGACUGCGGCCUAUCAGCUUGUUGGUGAGGUAAUGGCCCACCAAGGCUAUUACAGGUACGGGCUCUGAGAGGAGAAGCCCGGAGAUGGGUACUGAGACACGGACCCAGGCCCUAUGGGGCGCAGCAGGCGAGAAACCUUUGCAAUGUGCGCAAGCACGACAAGGUUAAUCCGAGUGUUUCCUGCUAAAGGAAUCUUUUGUUAGUUCUAAAACCACUGAUGAAUAAGGGGUGGGCAAGUUCUGGUGUCAGCCGCCGCGGUAAAACCAGCACCUCAAGUGGUCAGGAGGAUUAUUGGGCCUAAAGCAUCCGUAGCCGGUUCUGUAAGUUUCCGGUUAAAUCCACUAGCUCAACUAAUGGGCUGCCGGAAAUACUGCAGAACUAGGGAGUGGGAGAGGUAGACGGUACUCGGGAGGAAGGGGUAAAAUCCUUUGAUCUCUUGAUGACCACCUGUGGCGAAGGCGGUCUACCANAACACGUUCGACGGUGAGGGAUGAAAGCUGGGGGAGCAAACCGGAUUAGAUACCCGGGUAGUCCCAGCUGUAAACGAUGCAGACUCGGUGAUGCACUGGCUUUUGGCCAGUGCAGUGCCGCAGGGAAGCCGUUAAGUUUGCCGCCUGGGAAGUACGUACGCAAGUAUGAAACUUAAAGGAAUUGGCGGGGGAGCACCACAAGGGGUGAAGCCUGCGGUUCAAUUGGAUUCAACGCCGGGAAGGGCGAAUUCGCGGCCGCUAAAUUCAAU